AGUCUUAUAUUCAAUUAUGAUUUUAAAUUGCAAAUUUAAAGGUGGCGUGAUCCUAAGGCUU
This 61-nucleotide transfer RNA is filed under the name Ochthebius griotes. Its description in RNAcentral is "tRNA-Cys". The record is from RNAcentral. Lineage: Eukaryota; Metazoa; Arthropoda; Insecta; Coleoptera; Hydraenidae.